Molecule: ribosomal RNA, 468 nt
Filed under: uncultured bacterium
Lineage: Bacteria
Description: partial 16S ribosomal RNA
Rfam family: Bacterial small subunit ribosomal RNA
Source: RNAcentral
GACGAACGCUGGCGGCGUGCUUAACACAUGCAAGUCGAACGGAAAGGCCCUGCCUUUGUGGGGUGCUCGAGUGGCGAACGGGUGAGUAACACGUGAGUAACCUGCCCUUGACUCUGGGAUAACUUCAGGAAACUGGGGCUAAUACCGGAUAGGAGCUCCUGCUGCAUGGUGGGGGUUGGAAAGUUUCGGCGGUUGGGUAUGGAUUCGCGGCGUAUCAGCUUGUUGGUGGGGUAGUGGCUUACCAAGGCUUCGACGGGUAGCCGGCCUGAGAGGGUGACCGGCCACAUUGGGACUGAGAUACGGCCCAGACUCCUGCGAGAGGCAGCAGUGGGGAAUAGUGCACAAUGGGCGGAAGCCGGAUGCAGCGACGCCGCGUGCGGGAUGACGGCCUUCGGGUUGUGAACCGCUUUCGCCUGUGACGAAGCGUGGGUGACGGUAAUGGGUAAAGAAGCACCGGCUAACUACGUG